AGCCCCAGAGGUUCCUUGCCCCUCUCAUCUAAAUAUUGGUCUGAGUGGCUGAAAGGGAGGAACAGUAAAACUGAAAUAGACUUUGUGUUUUAGUGCUCUACAAGUUCAUUUCAAACAUGA
RNAcentral lists this small nucleolar RNA (120 nucleotides) under Echinops telfairi (small Madagascar hedgehog). RNAcentral's name for it is "Small nucleolar RNA SNORA61 (ENSETEG00000026206.1)". Lineage: Eukaryota; Metazoa; Chordata; Mammalia; Afrosoricida; Tenrecidae. The record is from RNAcentral.